RNAcentral lists this ribosomal RNA (253 nucleotides) under uncultured bacterium. RNAcentral describes it as "partial 16S ribosomal RNA". It matches the Rfam family "Bacterial small subunit ribosomal RNA", at positions 524 to 776 of the family's 1533-position model. The record is from RNAcentral.
UACGUAGGGUGCGAGCGUUGUCCGGAAUUAUUGGGCGUAAAGAGCUCGUAGGCGGUCUGUCGCGUCGGCUGUGAAAACUCGGGGCUCAACUCCGAGCCUGCAGUCGAUACGGGCAGACUAGAGUGCUGUAGGGGAGACUGGAAUUCCUGGUGUAGCGGUGAAAUGCGCAGAUAUCAGGAGGAACACCGGUGGCGAAGGCAGGUCACUGGGCCGCAACUGACGCUGAGGAGCGAAAGCAUGGGGAGCGAACAGG